GUCCCUGUAGCGCAAUCGAUAGCGCUUUGAACUUCUAAUCCAAAAAUCGUGGUUUUGAAUCCCACCUGGAAUG
RNAcentral lists this transfer RNA (73 nucleotides) under Trichonephila inaurata madagascariensis. It matches the Rfam family "tRNA". Rfam says of the family: Transfer RNA (tRNA) molecules are approximately 80 nucleotides in length. Their secondary structure includes four short double-helical elements and three loops (D, anti-codon, and T loops). Lineage: Eukaryota; Metazoa; Arthropoda; Arachnida; Araneae; Nephilidae. The record is from Rfam by way of RNAcentral.